CAUAAUCUGAAAGGAAGUACAAGGUUUUUGUUGGGGAGUCCGUCUCAGAGCAGAGACAUCAAAUUCUGAUGAUAAUGAGUGCCACACCCAUUUCUUCCCAUUGCUCUGUUAGGAGCAGAGCAUGAGGUCGGGGAGGGCACCUCUGCUAAAACCUUGUCCGUCGGUGCAUCCUCCAAAGCGGGACAGAGACUUUGCCAGAUUAGAAAGCAGAAAAAGAAGACUCGUGAGGACAUGUUCAAUGAGUUAAUGCGCGCCUCUGAGAGCAACAAGAUGGAGCUCAGUGCAUGGAGAAUUGCACUGUCCGACAGCCUGCACAAUGUUCGAGAGGACAGGAGAGCAUGCAGGGAACAUGAGCAUGACACACAGGAUGAGAUGGUGCGGAUUAUGAGGGAGCAAACAGACGUGUUGAGGUUCAAGAAAGGCAGCUGGACGCUAGAGUCCUGCUGCAGCCUAUGCUGAACCUGCUGCCAUUAUCACCAAGUUCCACAUCCUCCUCUCCCAGACAUCCUAGGAUGCGUGAGGGAAAGUCAGGUAUCUCUUGCAUUCAACUCCAGGGAAGGGUACACCUUUGAUUGCUAUUGCAGUGCAAUUGUAAGCAAGCUGUCCUUGUUUCUCCCCUAGCCCCCACUGUUAUCUUACAAUGUUAUCAGCCCCUUAUCCCUGGUUAUUACUCUUUUUUGCUG
This is a long non-coding RNA of Mauremys reevesii (Reeves's turtle), 683 nucleotides long. RefSeq lists it as uncharacterized. The record is from RefSeq and is a predicted model, not a curated record. NCBI's taxonomy places the organism in Eukaryota, Metazoa, Chordata, Testudines, Geoemydidae. The transcript has 3 exons.